AAUAGAUACCCCGGUAGUCCACGCCGUAAACGAUGUCGACUUGGAGGUUGUGCCCUUGAGGCGUGGCUUCCGGAGCUAACGCGUUAAGUCGACCGCCUGGGGAGUACGGCCGCAAGGUUAAAACUCAAAUGAAUUGACGGGGGCCCGCACAAGCGGUGGAGCAUGUGGUUUAAUUCGAUGCAACGCGAAGAACCUUACCUACUCCUGACAUCCAGAGAACUUAGCAGAGAUGCUUUGGUGCCUUCGGGAACUCUGAGACAGGUGCUGCAUGGCUGUCGUCAGCUCGUGUUGUGAAAUGUUGGGUUAAGUCCCGCAACGAGCGCAACCCUUAUCCUUUGUUGCCAGCGGUUAGGCCGGGAACUCAAAGGAGACUGCCAGUGAUAAACUGGAGGAAGGUGGGGAUGACGUCAAGUCAUCAUGGCCCUUACGAGUAGGGCUACACACGUGCUACAAUGGCAUAUACAAAGAGAAGCGACCUCGCGAGAGCAAGCGGACCUCAUAAAGUAUGUCGUAGUCCGGA
Molecule: ribosomal RNA, 520 nt
Filed under: uncultured bacterium
Lineage: Bacteria
Description: bacterial SSU rRNA
Rfam family: Bacterial small subunit ribosomal RNA
Source: RNAcentral